UACAGAGGUCUCGAGCGUUAGGCGGAAUCACUGGGCUUAAAGCGUGUGUAGGUGGAUGCCUAAGUACCUUUGUGAAAUCCCACGGCUCAACCGUGGAACUGCUUGGUAUACUGGUCGUCUUGAGGCACUCAGGGGCGAGCGGAACAGAUGGUGGAGCGGUGAAAUGCGUAGAUAUCAUCUGGAACGCCAAUGGUGAAGACAGCUCGCUGGGGGUGUACUGACACUGAGACACGAAAGCCAGGGGAGCGAACGGG
RNAcentral lists this ribosomal RNA (254 nucleotides) under uncultured bacterium. Its description in RNAcentral is "partial 16S ribosomal RNA". It matches the Rfam family "Bacterial small subunit ribosomal RNA", at positions 524 to 776 of the family's 1533-position model. The record is from RNAcentral.